RNAcentral lists this ribosomal RNA (332 nucleotides) under uncultured bacterium. RNAcentral describes it as "bacterial SSU rRNA". It matches the Rfam family "Bacterial small subunit ribosomal RNA", at positions 568 to 898 of the family's 1533-position model. The record is from RNAcentral.
CGUGUAGGCGGUUUGUUAAGUCUGAUGUGAAAGCCCCGGGCUCAACCUGGGAAGUGCAUUGGAUACUGGCAGACUUGAAUACGGGAGAGGGUAGUGGAAUUCCUGGUGUAGGAGUGAAAUCCGUAGAUAUCAGGAGGAACACCGGUGGCGAAGGCGGCUACCUGGACCGAUAUUGACGCUGAGACGCGAAAGCGUGGGGAGCAAACAGGAUUAGAUACCCUGGUAGUCCACGCCGUAAACGAUAAGUACUAGGUGUUGCGGGUAUUGACCCCUGCAGUGCCGCAGCUAACGCAUUAAGUACUCCGCCUGGGAAGUACGGUCGCAAGACUAAA